GCUCGUAGUUGGAUCUCGGCGGACAGAAGUCGGUCCGAAUGCUUUCGGUACUGGCUUGUUUGUCCGUGUGUUUUGCCAGAGGCAGGCGGGUGCUCUUCGCCGAGUGUCCGUCUGUGCUGGCAGGUUUACUUUGAAAAAAUUAGAGUGCUCAAAGCAAGCUCUCACGCUUGAAUAUUCGUGCAUGGAAUAAUAGAAUAGGAUGUCGUUUCUAUUUUGUUGGUUUUCGGAAAUCGACAUAAUGAUUAAUAGGGACAGUCGGGGGCAUUUGUAUUCAAACGACAGAGGUGAAAUUCUUGGACCGUUUGAAGACAAACUACUGCGAAAGCAUUUGCCAAGAAUGUUUUCAUUAAUCAAGAACGAAAGUUAGAGGUUCGAAGGCGAUUAGAUACCGCCCUAGUUCUAACCAUAAACGAUGCCAGCUAGCGAUCUGCAGGCGUUUUACUUUACGACCUUGCAGGGAGCUUCCGGGAAACCAAAGCUUGUGGGUUCCAGGGGAAGUAUGGUUGCAAAGCCGAAACUUAAAGGAAUUGACGGAAGGGCACCACCAGGAGUGGAGCCUGUGGCUUAAUUUGACUCAACACGGGAAAUCUCACCAGGCCCGGACACGAGAAGGAUUGACAGAUUGAUAGCUCUUUCUUGAUUUCGUGGGUGGUGGUGCAUGGCCGUUCUUAGUUGGUGGAGUGAUUUGUCUGGUUAAUUCCGAUAACGAACGAGACUCUGUCCUGCUAACUAGUGUCUGCUUCUUUUCUGAGCAGAUUAUUCUUCUUAG
RNAcentral lists this ribosomal RNA (769 nucleotides) under Eudiaptomus environmental sample. RNAcentral's name for it is "SSU rRNA". It matches the Rfam family "Eukaryotic small subunit ribosomal RNA", at positions 626 to 1414 of the family's 1831-position model. The record is from RNAcentral. Lineage: Eukaryota; Metazoa; Arthropoda; Copepoda; Calanoida; Diaptomidae.